GACGAACGCUGGCGGCGUGCUUAACACAUGCAAGUCGAACGGUGAAGCGCCUUCCUUUUUGGUGGGUGUGGAUGAGUGGCGAACGGGUGAGUAACACGUGAGUAACCUGCCCCCUUCUUCUGGAUAACCGCAUGAAAGUGUGGCUAAUACGGGAUAUUCUGGGUCUGUCGCAUGAUGGGUCUGGGAAAGAUAUUGUUUCGGUGGGGGAUGGGCUCACGGCCUAUCAGCUUGUUGGUGGGGUGAUGGCCUACCAAGGUGGUGACGGGUAGCCGGCCUGAGAGGGUGGACGGUCACACUGGGACUGAGACACGGCCCAGACUCCUACGGGAGGCAGCAGUGGGGAAUAUUGCACAAUGGGCGCAAGCCUGAUGCAGCGACGCCGCGUGAGGGAUGGAGGCCUUCGGGUUGUGAACCUCUUUCGCCAGUGAAGCAGGCCUGCCUCGUUUGUGGGUGGGUUGACGGUAGCUGGAUAAGAAGCGCCGGCUAACUACGUG
RNAcentral lists this ribosomal RNA (494 nucleotides) under uncultured bacterium. RNAcentral's name for it is "partial 16S ribosomal RNA". It matches the Rfam family "Bacterial small subunit ribosomal RNA", at positions 28 to 507 of the family's 1533-position model. The record is from RNAcentral.